This 305-nucleotide ribosomal RNA is filed under the name uncultured bacterium. RNAcentral's name for it is "partial 16S ribosomal RNA". It matches the Rfam family "Bacterial small subunit ribosomal RNA", at positions 505 to 807 of the family's 1533-position model. The record is from RNAcentral.
ACAGCAGCAGCCGCGGUAACACGGAGGGGGCUAGCGUUGUUCGGAAUUACUGGGCGUAAAGCGCACGUAGGCGGCUUGGUAAGUUAGAGGUGAAAGCCUGGAGCUCAACUCCAGAAUUGCCUUUAAGACUGCCGAGCUAGCAGGUGAGAGAGGUAAGUGGAAUUCCGAGUGUAGAGGUGAAAUUCGUAGAUAUUCGGAAGAACACCAGUGGCGAAGGCGGCUUACUGGCUCAUACUGGACGCUGAGGUGCGAAAGCGUGGGGAGCAAACAGGAUUAGAUACCCCCGUAGUCCCUGUCUCUUAUAC